GCACUUCUUUGUGGUAAAUGAUCAUUGUAGAUGUACAAUUUUUAUAAGAUAGAGAUGUCAAAACUCUAUAUUUAAUCAUUUCAUUUUAUCUGACUUCAAGAGAUGUGAAAACUAAUGACUAAAAGAAAUAAUGAAAUAUAAAGCAUAAACACGUCGUCAAUGUUUAAAAACGAAACGGAUUACAACUAAAUUUAAACGUAAAUACCCUAAUAUGUAAUGAUUUAAAGUCAUUUUUUUUUAAAUAUUUUAAACAUGUGGCGGCCAUCUUGGUUAUUUUAGACCCAAUUUACUUAAAGUAUAUGUGCUAGUAUACCCUUAGGAACACUAGGACAACGAUGACACUGUAAUAAUCAUGAGUUGUAAUCUAAAAUUUAUUACUAACAUUUGAUUUUUGCUGAAUAAUAUUAUAAUUGCUUCUAUUAAGAUUUGGAAACUGAAUAAUUCAGGUGUUUCAGGGGUAUCUAAAACUACAACGUUACAGUCAACAGAUGGUAACAAAGACAGAUUUACAACAACUGCAAAUGUCUCAGGACACACCGGGAAGAUUUUACCUGAACGAAAAACAAACUCAAAGGACAUUGUAAUUGGUGUAAGCGUCGGGUUGGUAGGACUCCUACUCAUUGUCGGUAUUGUCAUCAUUGUGGCCAUGGUCAUGACAGGAAAAUUUAAAGCAAAUAGAUCUGCACCAAGCUUGUCAGUGAAGCAACACCAAGCAGAACACAUUCAUGAAUAUAUAAAUUCUCCGAUACCUUAUCACCUGCCGCAAAAAAAAGCUUGAGAUGGGAAUCUAAUCAUAAUGCGAUCUAAAAAAAUUUAAACCGUUUGUUUGUAAAAUGAUGUGUUAACGAUUUGUAUAAACCUUUGUAUGGCUUCUAGUGUAUGCUUACUGAUAUUGGAAUUAAGCAACGUGACAAUUUUGUACACAUUUUAUGGAGUAUAAACAAUUUAGUUAAAAUUUUUACAUUUAAAAAAAAUAUUCAUGCUUAAAAGUAAAUAUAAAAAAACGCCGGAAACAUUCCAUGUGUAUUGCUGUUUACUUCAUAUAAUUACAAGAAUAAACUUAGGCCUAAAAGCUGCACGUGUACCCACUUUAUUAAUCUUUUUAUUGUUAAAUAACUAACAGAAUUAUGACCGAUGAAUCAGUCAAAUUUAAGAUGUUCUUUUCAGAAUAAUUUUUGUGCUCACAACUCCUUACAAACCGCACAUAAAAGCAAAAAAAAAAAAAAAAUUACAAAAAAUUGACUUCGUUAGGUUAUAUGGCCUCACACAUCACAAGUGUUGAUAUGCUAUAUAAUUUGAGCCGCCAAGUUGCUGGGAAACAACCGUUUAUAAUAUAAUGCGGCUAUAUAACCUGUCAAAUUAUCUACGACGAUUUUAUGAUAAGCAAGCUUACCUUACUAAUUUAAGGCAGCCAUUAGUGCGUUAGUAACAUCAUAUAAAACAUGAUUAUCCAAUGAAAAGCGACGUUAAAACGUACAGGAAUUUGAAAUUAGAAAUUCACACUUAGUAGUAAUUUUGAUUAAUUGUUAUUUGUGACACAUAUUACCCGUUAGCAUUUAUUUACGUCUUUUUCAACUUUGUUUAUUAUACAUUACGGAUUGGUCAAUGAAAACCACUUUGAAAAUCCCGGCUAUUAUCAAUUAUUUUAUAACCUGGAACUUAACACGGAUUGGAAGUAGUUCUACAGAGGGUGUUACCUUUGAUAAUGUAUAACGAAUAUAUAUAUUUAACAUUAAAGGGAAAAUAAAGGCCAUUUCGGUAAAACUGACUGAAAAUAUGUCAGACAAUCAUUAUCCAUUUAAAAACGCUCACUGACAAAUUCGACUUAAUGCCAACUUUCGAUUUCUACAACCAUAAUAAUAAGUUUAAAACUUAUGUACUGUUACUUUAAUAUCUAUGAAUUUGGGCGGCGAUUACUGGAUAUAUUUAACUCAACUUAGUCAACAGUCCAUCAUUAAAUUACUAUUUGUUUACAGGUUUAGUACCUAACCUACUUGACCGAAAUACCGUAUCCAUUCUAUGUAUUCAUACUAAUGUUGUUCUGAAAUCAGACGAAAAGGACCGAAAAGUUGCGAUUCCCUUGUCGAAUGUAAGGAAUAAUGGGGGCCUGGUUUUUACCUUUCUUUUUGGCACUAAACUUGGUAAAAAAAUGGUAAAUUGGUAAUAGAAUUCAUUAAGAUAAUUAAAAUAGUAUUCACCUCUUAUUUGGUCUUGUACAUUCCGAGACUGUUACACGAAUAUUUCAUUGAUUAAUUUGUCUAUGACGAAUAAUUAUUACCAACUUUUGAAUGAUUUUUUGUCUAAUAGUAUAAUACUUUUUCAUUCAAAUUAAAUUAGAGUUUAACUAUGAGUUUAGAAAUGUCACUGUGAAUGAUUUGAAUGUUAUGACAUAUAUAAUUGUACAUCACUUGUCAGUUAUUAAAAGUAUUACUUUUCUUCUUUUUAUUGAAAUCAUUACUAUGGUGUUUUUGGAACAGUCAAAAAUGUUGUCUCUCGGUAUAGAGAUGAUAUUUUGAAAUGUUGCCAGAGGCCAAAUACCGAAGGACAACAGUUUUGACAGUUCCACAAACACCCAUGAAAUAACUGUUUUAUUACCUUACACUUUGCAAUCCAACUAGCAUCAUUAUAAUUACAUUUUACAAGUGUUUUAAUUGUUGACAUUUGAUUUUCUAAAAAACAUCACUUCCGCGACGUUCGAUAACCGAAAUAGUGACGGUGGCGUGAACGGAAAUAUCUGAUGACGGAGGUGUAACAGUUGACAAUGUUAACAGGGCAACUUUUCAUUUCAUCAUUGCGCAUGCACAGUAUUUCAGCGGUUCAAAAAAACAGUUUUAAAUAAGGAAUUAGUAUUUAUAGAAGGCAUUAGGUUAUAACAUCGUCUGUUGAUAUAAAGGAAAAUGGAUAUAUUGGAACGAAAAUAUCUUCUAAGAGCAUCUAAAUAACGUGACUCUCUACGGUUAACUGUGGUUAGCUCAUUUACUAAGAUAUUUAACAAUUUGCAGUUUAGAUAUUGUAAAUUUAAAUUUAACUUAUACUUAAGCAAAUGAUAAGAAAAACCUUUCUUACGAUUUUUUAUCAAUAUAGUCAUGUAUAUAUUGUAUAUGUUCAAAGAGCCUACACUAACAUUGUAUUCAUUACUUACCUCAUUUAUUCAUGUUAACAUGCAAUGUGUGUAAUAAAGGAAAUUUUACUUGACU
Molecule: long non-coding RNA, 3197 nt
Organism: Ruditapes philippinarum (Manila clam)
Lineage: Eukaryota; Metazoa; Mollusca; Bivalvia; Venerida; Veneridae
Exons: 4
Source: RefSeq, a predicted model, not a curated record